Molecule: ribosomal RNA, 1676 nt
Filed under: human gut metagenome
Description: bacterial LSU rRNA
Rfam family: Bacterial large subunit ribosomal RNA
Source: RNAcentral
AAUCGAACCCGGAGAUAGCUGGUUCUCCUCGAAAUAGCUUUAGGGCUAGCCUCAUGGAUCAUUGGUGGGGGUAGAGCACUGAAUGUGCGCGGGGGCCACAAAGCCUACCAAACGCUAUCAAACUUCGAAUACCAUACAAUGCAGACCAUGGGAGUCAGUCCGCGAGAGAUAAGUUCCGCGGGCAAAAGGGGAACACCCCAGAUCAACCGCUAAGGUCCCCAAGUUCACGUUAAGUGGAGAAGGAUGUGGAAUUGCACAGACAACCAGGAUGUUGGCUCAGAAGCAGCCACACAUUUAAAGAGUGCGUAAUAGCUCACUGGUCGAGUGAUUGUGCGCCGAAGAUGUCCGGGGCUAAACGUGACACCGAAGCGAUGGGUGCAUCUGAAGAAGAUGCGCGGUAGAGGAGCAAUGUGCAGAGGCAGAAGCCGUAUCGAGAGGCACGGUGGACACUGCACAAGAGAGAAUGCCGGUAUGAGUAGCGAGAGGCAUGCGAGAAACAUGCCCGUCGAAAGCCCAAGGUUUCCUGGGGAAGGUUCAUCCGCCCAGGGUAAGUCGGGGCCUAAGCCGAGGACGGAAGUCGUAGGCGAUGGACAGCAGGUGUAGAUUCCUGCACUACCGAUGGAAUGAAGCAGUGACACAGAAGGAUAACUCGAGCAGGGUGAUGGUCAACCCUGUGCAAGCAUCAAGGUUGGGUUGUAGUGAAGUACGCAAUCCUACAAGCUGAGAUGUGAUGCGGACCGAAAUUUCAGUAGGGAAGCGAGUGAGUUCACGCUGGCGAGAAAAGCUGCUAGUAUAUCCAAAGGUACCCGUACCGGAAACCGACGCAGGUGGGCGAGGAGAGAAUCCUGAGACGAACGGGAGAACCCUUGUUAAGGAACUCGGCAAAAUGACCCCGUAACUUCGGGAGAAGGGGUGCCUCGAAAGAGGCCGCAGAGAAUAGUCACAAGCGACUGUUUAGCAAAAACACAGGUAUCUGCGAAAGCGAGAGCUGACGUAUAGGUGCUGACACCUGCCCGGUGCUGGAAGGUUAAGGGAACAUGUUAGAGCAAUCGAAGCAUCGAACCGAAGCCCCAGUAAACGGCGGCCGUAACUAUAACGGUCCUAAGGUAGCGAAAUUCCUUGUCGGGUAAGUUCCGACCCGCACGAAUGGUGUAACGACUUGUGAGCUGUCUCAACAGGGGGCCCGGUGAAAUUGAAGUAUGGGUGAAGAUGCCCAUUACCCGCGACUGGACGGAAAGACCCCGUAGAGCUUUACUGCAGCCUGAUAUUGAGUUUCGGUAACUGAUGCACAGGAUAGGUGGGAGUCUGAGAGACAUGGGUUUCGGCUCAUGUGGAGACGGUGUUGGGAUACCACUCUUCGGUUACUGAAAUUCUAACAUAGCUCUGUGAAACCAGAGGAUGGACAGUGUCAGGUGGACAGUUUGACUGGGGCGGUCGCCUCCGAAAGAGUAACGGAGGCGCCCAAAGGUACCCUCAGAAUGGAUGGAAACCAUUCGAAGAGCGCAAAGGCAGAAGGGUGCCUGACUGCGAGAUUGACAAAUCGAGCAGAGACGAAAGUCGGGCUUAGUGAUCCGGCGGUAUUGAGUGGAAAAGCCGUCGCUUAACGGAUAAAAGCUACCUCGGGGAUAACAGGCUGAUCUCCCCCAAGAGUCCACAUCGACGGGGAGGUUUGGCAC